RNAcentral lists this long non-coding RNA (1397 nucleotides) under Jatropha curcas. RNAcentral describes it as "long non-coding RNA (JCUR_LNC003299)". The record is from RNAcentral. Lineage: Eukaryota; Viridiplantae; Streptophyta; Magnoliopsida; Malpighiales; Euphorbiaceae.
GCAGCGCACGGCAGCAGCACAACCUUCACUUGGUCGCGCCACCACCGUGCCUACUGCUCCGCUUCUCUCCACGCCGCCAGCCCCAUUUCCGGUUAGUCGCAUUCCGGCAACACUAUAAAAUUGGGUAAAAUUUUAAGAUUUGUGAAUGAAAUUAGCUAAUUUAUUUAGUUAAGUUAGUUUUAGUGAAUAAAAGUAAUGGUUUGUAGUUAAUUCAGUUAGUCAAGUUAGUGUUAGUGUUAGUAAUUAGUGUUAGUAAUUAAUUAGUUAAGUUAGUUGUAGUUAAUUGUUUGUAGCUAGUUUAAUUAAUUAAGCUAGUGUUAGUAAUAUUAGUCAAUUAAAUUAAUUUUAUUAUUUGAAGUUAAUUAAUUUAGUAAUAUUAGAUAAUGAAAUUAAUGUUAUUAUCAUUUGUAAUUAAUUAAUCUAGCUAAGUUAAUGUUAGUUAAUUAAAUUAAUCUUAUUAUUUGUAGUUAAUUAAUGUAGUUAAUUUAAAUUGGUAAAUGUGAGUAGUUAAUAGCUUUAUAAUUUUAUUGUUGAUUUAGUUAAGGUAGUUUAGAUAUAAUGUUAUUGUAAUGUAUAAUUUUAAUUGUGUGGUGAUGUUGAAGAUUGAUGAAGGAUGGGAAAUUUGAUUGAUUGACUGCCCGACGGAUGGGCUGUGUGGUUUGGAAAAUAUUAGAUAUAUUGUUGAUAUUUUAACAGGUGGAUAGUCCAAUUUUUAGGGGAGAUGCUGCCGAAAUUUCGGUAGAAAAUAAAAUGAAUUUCGGUAAAAAAAAAGAAAAAAAAAGAAAAAAAAAUAAAAAAUAAAUAAUAAAUAAAUUUCGGUAGGAAAUAAAAUACAAGUUAGAAGGAAGUAAAUUAUUAUAGAAAAGAAAUUAUAUUACCAUAUUUAAUUACGUAGAGAAGUUAGAAUAUAAAAUAAAAUUUUUUAGAGUGGUGAAUAAAUAUUUUGUCUGAUAGAAUUAUUCUUUUUGUGUCGUUCUUGUAAUUUCUUAGAUCGCCCGGGUCCAUCUAGUGCUCCUCCAGGACAGAAUCAAAGCUAGAAUCUUGCUCUCCAUCACUGUGAGUAAUAAUGAAUAAUGCACAUCAACACUGCAUCUGCAUAACACUUAUUUAUAAACAUUACAUUUUUUUUCAUAUUUACAACAUAUUAUGAGUAUUUUAUCAUAUAUAUAUUAUGUUUCGAUCAUUAUAAUUAUACUUAUAUAAUUGUGCAUUUGGAUGAAUCGUUUGAUUAUCUGUGCUGUGACUAUACUGUGAUUUGUUUGUGUGGAAUUUGAAUGAAGUGGGUCACCACGGGUUUGUGAGAAUGGUAUAUGUGAUAUGGAUCCUGAAAAUGAUAUGAAAUUUAGCCGGGUAAAUGGGAGAUCGGCGCCCCCGUGUGCACCACUGCUUUGAUCUGU